This is a non-coding RNA of Benincasa hispida (wax gourd), 2730 nucleotides long. The record is from RefSeq and is a predicted model, not a curated record. Lineage: Eukaryota; Viridiplantae; Streptophyta; Magnoliopsida; Cucurbitales; Cucurbitaceae.
CUCAUCGGAAGUGGUGAAAUAAUGGACUUUAAAUGCCUUCAAACGGGUUAAGAAUCCAAAAGAAUCGAGUAUCGAGUAUGACGUGGAUAUGAUUGAGUAUACACGUGUCAAUUUCAGUCGGAUCGAGUGACCGUGCAUCGAGGAAUGAGUAACGAGCCAUCAGAUAACGAGUGACGAGCCAUCGAAGAUCGAGUAAAUUUGUAUUGACAGACACACGGGAUACAUCUCAGGGACGAAUCGGUAGAAUCACAUGCUUAUGAUGUAAACAUAAGACCAUUUUCCAUAUUUCUCCCGAGGUGACCAUUUUUCACCUGGCCAUUCCAAAUGAGACAAUCCGUACCAAAAAAAAAAAACCUCCGGCGAACCCGUUUAUCUAUGAAUAAAACAUCUCCCUCUCCCUCUUCCGUUUCUUCUUCUCCGGCCAGCACCCACGCUCCUUUUCCGGCGACGACGUACAGCAGCAAACAGCGACCCCUGCGCACCCCGAGGACGCCUUGCAGCAGUCUCACCCACGCGAUCGAUGGCGCCUCCUUUCUCCGACGGCCGGCAGCCGUGACUGCUGCAGCGACUCGUGCAAUAGCCCGCGAUAUCACGAAAUCGGGCCUUGAGUCGUUUCGAUUGAUCUCGAAUCUGAAUGCCCUCCCUAACGCCUUAAGAUCUUCAACUUCGGACUCCUUCAAACACCAACCAGCAAGGUUUCGAGCCAUUUUGGUGAAGUUCAGUUUGGAUCAGUAGAGUGUUCGAUUAGGCUUCAAGGGUGAUUUUGGGUAGGAACAUCCCUCCCGAACCUGAACACUCUCUCAAGAAUCUUGAAUCGAGUGCUAACCUAUAAAUGUUUUUCCGUGUUUGGGAACCUUCAGGCCUGUUUUGAGAAUAUUGUAGUUGCAGUCAGAUUUCAUGUUGAGCAGGCACGUGGAUCCAAAUCUUACGGACUUACUUAAGGUCUGCAAAAGCAUAAAUUCAAAAACUGCAUGUCUCGAGUCUUGACUCUAAAUCUAGGAUCAAUUAUCACAGGCCUCCUUCUCAAGGUCUAACUUCUCCAUGGCAUUUCCCUAUGUGGCUGCACCAGAAAGGGGUACAAUUGAAAAUUUAUUGAUCUCAGAGUUCAAAAGAUCAUGUGUGCAUGACCUCAGAAUUGACAAUCAUUCCAGAGACUUCCACUGCUGCAUUCCAUCCAUGAUUAUAUGGUUUCAAGAAUGGAAAAGAAGCAAAAGGGAGAGACAGAUUUGGUAGUUUUCUCUUCUGUGAUGGAGGUCUCAGUUCUUCAAAAGAAGUCAAUCCAUGGACUUCUGAAAGCAAAACUUUGUUGGAGAUGAUGACUUCAGCAGAGCAUAUCGGGGCAAAAUAUGAAAUUCUCUAUAUAUCAGAUCCCUUUAGGUCCAUUCGCCAUUCUUAUAUGGAGCUGGGAAGAUUUAUUGCUGAAGGUUCCCGUUCCUCUCAAAAUGGAUCAGCUAAAUCAGAAAAUUUUUGUGAUGAAGUCCGCCAAAUUAAAUCAUCUCUCCUUGGGGGCCUCUUUGUUGUGAUUCACUAACUUUUAAGAUGUGAUAUUUUAGCUUUAUGAUUUGAAUAUUUUGGUUAUACCUCAAGUAAAAGUGGACACAUUAACCUAUUAUCAACUGGACCCGACAUCUAGAGAACCCACUUUAAAGUUCAAACACUAAAGUUAAUUAAAAGAAUUACUCUUGGAUAUCUGGUUAGUUGUUGAGACCGUUCUUUGACCAUGCUUGUUUCACUGCUCUAGGAGUUUGUUUCUUUGACCAUUAGUCUCUUUUGAUUAAUUCUAUAUAAAGUUCUGUCUCUUGUUCAAAAAUAAAGCUUCACAACUCUCGGAAUUGUAGUCUCUCUUUCAAUAUGUUUUCAUCUCGUUGUGCACUUGUUUCAUUUCAUGAGUCCUGUUAAAUUUGUGUCAUUCUGGCUUACAUUUGCUUCCAAUCUUCAACUAUGCAGGGGAUCGUUUUGCUUAUAAUCCUAAUAUCAGGCCUUUGUUAUAUGAUGGGUCUUGACACCCCAACCAGAUUUGAGACACCUCAAGAUUCUUAAAGCACGUUUCUCAGAAUAGUUGCAUAAAAUUGCUUUGGUGAUGUGUUUCGGAGGGAGAAAGCUUUGUCAUACGGGGUUGGUGGCACAUGCGUGCAAACAGGUGCUGGAGUUGGUGUGGGAGUGUGCUUUUGAGGACUAGAGGGGAGUAGGCUUGCAUCGUUGUACAUCGUUGCCACAAGCGCUUGAGAGCGUCGUAGUAAUACUUCUUCAACCAUUUUUGUUGGACGUUAGAUGUGAUUCUUUCACCCUCAAUCAAACACAAAUCAUGUGAAAUUAAGCUUCAAUCGACCAUGUACAUGGCUUGUACGUGUAUUUUCCCUCAUUCGUGACUAGUUGACUUGUCUAUUCUCAAGGUCAAGUCUUAAGGCUCAACCUUGCUAUAUGCUAGGCUAAAGUCAUCACAAGCAACGUUGCAUCUAAAUUCACCAUCUUGGUUCUUAACAACACGGCCCCCAGGCUUCUGUAUCGUAUUAGAACUUUAUUAAGAUGAGUUUGGAACCUUUGUUGGAUCAAAACAGAUAGGUGAUUCAAACACUUACUAGGACUUGUCGGGAACAAUAAUGUUUACCGGACUUUACUGGCCUAUUUUAGUGCCAACUAAGCUUCUACCGACCUAUUUGUCGCUUACGAACUUUACUUGGCCAUUACAAUGCUUACUGGUACAACUUGCAAUAGUACUACGUCAACCUA